This 377-nucleotide ribosomal RNA is filed under the name uncultured eukaryote. RNAcentral describes it as "partial 18S ribosomal RNA". It matches the Rfam family "Eukaryotic small subunit ribosomal RNA", at positions 592 to 976 of the family's 1831-position model. The record is from RNAcentral.
CAAUAGCGUAUAUUUAAGUUGCUGCAGUUAAAAAGCUCGUAGUUGGAUUUCGGGUGGGAAUGGCCGGUCCGCCGUUUCGGUGUGCACUUGCUACGCCCACCUUGCUGCCGGGGACGUGCUCUUGGGUUCACGCUCGGGACACGGAGUCGGCGAGGUUACUUUGAGUAAAUUAGAGUGUUCAAAGCAGGCCUACGCUCUGAAUACAUUAGCAUGGAAUAACACGAUAGGACUCUGGCCUAUCUUGUUGGUCUGUAGGACCGGAGUAAUGAUUAAGAGGGACAGUCGGGGGCAUUCGUAUUUCAUUGUCAGAGGUGAAAUUCUUGGAUUUAUGAAAGACGAACUACUGCGAAAGCAUUUGCCAAGGAUGUUCUCAUUAA